UGCAGAGUAGAGCAGUUCGGAAGCUCGUCUGGUUCGCUGCCAGAAGGUCGCAGGUUCAAAUCCUGCCUUUGCAA
Molecule: transfer RNA, 74 nt
Filed under: Caudoviricetes sp.
Lineage: Duplodnaviria; Heunggongvirae; Uroviricota; Caudoviricetes
Description: tRNA-Ala
Rfam family: tRNA
About the family: Transfer RNA (tRNA) molecules are approximately 80 nucleotides in length.
Source: RNAcentral